RNAcentral lists this long non-coding RNA (42835 nucleotides) under Triticum aestivum (bread wheat). Its description in RNAcentral is "long non-coding RNA (TAES_LNC011883)". Lineage: Eukaryota; Viridiplantae; Streptophyta; Magnoliopsida; Poales; Poaceae. The record is from RNAcentral.
AAACACCAAAAGGAUACACAAAACACCAGAAAGAUACACUGAAACUCAAACACAUGCACAUGCAUAAUACAUUCCCAUGAAAUAGACUAGUUUUGAGAUAUCAGGGUAGAGCACAUGCAUAAUACAUUCCCAUGAAAUAGACUAGUUUUGAGAUAUCAGGGUAGAGCACAGAAAGGAGCAAAAAGGAGCUAACAUUCUUAUUGAAAUACUAACUGCAGUUCAUUUAUCAUAUCCUCAGACAUUGUACACAGCGGUGCGCUGGUGAUCCAUCACCACAUCAGCCAAACUAGACACGGAAUCACAGUUUAUACACACAAAUUCAUUUUGUCUUCUUAUCUUCUUUGUUAUCCUUCUCCACCACUACUGGCGUUGCAGGUAUGCUGAACUACCACUCUCUCAACCUUCUGGUGCAUCUCUCUGUGCUUGCUCUCCUUAGUGGAGAGUGGUUCGUGAACACCUCCAGAAACAUCGCCAGGAUAAGCAAUCUUGUAGGCAGCAAGGCAAGGACAAUAGCCAUCAAUAACAGCGCAAGGAUAGCUUUGUCUGUGGCCUGCAAAUUACAAGAGUAAGUGAAAUAUCCGAUCAAACUCUGGUAUCGAAUACGUUUAAGGUUAAAAUUGUGGCACUGCCCAUAAAAUUCAAUUUGUUUAGGAUCAAACUGAUGAAUAGAAAUUUGUAUAGGAGCAAAAUGUACUUUUGGAAGCUGGAUAGAUUGUAUAAGUUCAACAUUGAGCACAGCAACCAAAAGUCAUGCCCGUCCCAGUUUGAGGGGCUUGAGGGGAACAUGUUUACCUAUGGCUUUUAGGCUAGGUAGCACAAAUAGAUGCAUAGUGUUAAACAUUGUAAUGCGUCAUGUUAUGUCCGUCUCUUUCUCUCUCUCUUGUACGGCAAGUUAUUCUCAUAGAGUUGGAAAUAGAUUGGGUUAUAGAUAGAUAGAGUUGGUCUCCUUUUAAGUUUUUCUAUAUAGUCUUCUGUAACCCAAACUCCGUAAUCCUCAAGAGAGGCUCUCCUCUCGUUCGAUCAAUAUAAUUGCGGGCGCUCUCCUCUGGAGGGUACGAAGCUUCAUCAAAUCUUACAUGGUACGAGAGCCCCUCUCUUCCAACACAUCUAGCUACCUUCCUCAACCUCCUGUCAUGGUGCCCUCCUCUAGAUCCACCACAAACUUUUCCCUCAACUCCCAAGUUUCAGAAAAACUCACUAGAACCAACUUCAUCCUAUGGCAUGCUCAAGUGCUAUCGCAGAUUCGAGCUGCGAGCAUGUAUGGCUACCUAGACAAAACCUAUCCCGAACCACCCAAAACAAUCACCACCAAAGACAGCGCCGGCAAGGAUCAAGUCAUCAUCAACCCUGAGUACACCGUCUGGGCAAGGGAGUACCAGCAGGUGCCCUCCUACUUGCUCAAUAAUCUCUUCAAGGAGGUCCUGAUUCAAGUCGCCUCUCAUGAGAAGGCUCAUGUGAUCUGGGAUGCCCUGAUAAGCAUGUUCGCCUCCACAUCAAGGUCCCGCAUCAACAAUAUCCGCAUCAACCUGAUGAAUGCGCAGAAGUGGAGCCAAUCUGCGGCUGCCUACUUCGGCCACAUGAGAUCCCUCGCGGACGAGCUGGCCAUGGCCGGCGAUCCCAUCACUCCCAAUCAGCUCAUCUCCUUCAUCAUCGCUGGUUGGGACAUGGACUACCAGCCCAUCGUCUCUGCACUUGAUGUCCGCACCAACGACGUCUCUGUUGACGAGCUUUUUUCCAUGGUGAGCAACUUUGAUCAACCAGUAUAACUCUUCCAUGGUACGGGCGCCGGUGGAUUCAAGCCCUCUGCAAACUUGGUUGGGCGCGGCUGUGGCUUCUCGAAGGGGGCGUCAAUGAAAAGGAGAUGGUGGCGGGGGCUUACCUCAAGGACAAAACAGCGGCGGCAGAUCCAUCCUAGGCAGCUACCCUGGCCAGGGCGGCGGCGGCGGCUACCGCAGCAACAACAACGGUCAGGGCGGCCGAUCUGGCGGCUAUGGUAGCUAUGGUGGUGGCUUCUACCGUGGCCAACCUGGAGGCUAUGUCCAUGGUAAAGGUGGUGGCUAUGGUGGCUACGGUGGAGGCUCCAACAACAACCAGCAGCACCCCUACUACAACAACCAGAGUCGUGGUGGCGCCUCCUCCUUUCCCCAAGGGUUUGAUGGAAUUUCUCAAAUUUGCAAGAAAGAUAAUCAUAUUGCAAAAGAUUGCAAGUGGCGCUAUGCCGAAGAUAACUGCAGGAAGAAGAAAGUUGCUGCUAUGGUGGACACUUCCUAUGGAGUAGAUACCAACUGGUAUAUGCCGACACGCUACGGAUCACAUAACCGGUGAAUUGGAGAAGAUCACCAUGCAUGAGAGGUACCAUGGCCAUGAUCAAGUUCACAACGCCGACCGCGCAGGUAUGGAGAUUAGUCAUAUUGGUCAUUCAAUUAUUAAAACCCCACUUCGAGAUAUUCAUCUAAACAAUGUUCUGCAUGUUCCUAGUACCUCUAAGAAUCUUCUAUCUAUCCAUCGCAUUGCACUUGACAAUCAUGUUUUUCUAUAGUUUCACCCAUACUUCUUUUUGAUUAAGGACCAGGCCAUGAAGAAAAUCAUUUACCGAGGUAGAUGCAUGGACGGACUCUACCCGUUGAUCCCUAAGUUUAAGAGACUCAAUAAACAAGUGCUCGGUGUCAUCAAACUUUCAUUGGAUAGAUGGCAUCACCGUUUUGGCCACCCUGCUUUUUCUAUCCUUCAUCAAGUACUUAGCAGAAAUAAGCUCCUAUCUGUCGGUGAGCAUCGUUCUGAAACUAUUUGUGAUUCAUGUCAGAAAGCAAAAAGUCAUCAAUUGCCAUAUCCUAUCUCUAAUAUGUUUCUGUUAAACCAUUGCAACUUUUUUUUCUUGAUGUUUGGGGUCUAGCUCCUUCCUCUGUUGGAAGACACCUAUUAUGUUAGUUUUAUUGAUGACUUUAGCAAAUAUACUUGGAUCUAUCUUCUUAAGAAACGGUCUGAUGUGUGUCAAGUCUUUCACAAUUUUCAAGCUCUUGUUGAACGACAAUUUAAUAGCAAAAUCAUUGCAGUGCAAUCUGAUUGGGGUGGCGAAUAUGAAAAAUUAGAUUCCUUUUUCCAGCAAAUAGGAAUCUCUCAUCAUGUUUCCUAUCCUCAUGCUCAUCAACAGAAUGGUUCUACAGAACGAAAACAUAGGCACAUUGUUGAAGUUGGCCUCGCUUUGCUUGCUGCUGCUUCUAUGCACUCAAGUUUUGGGAUGAAGCUUUUCUUACAGCCGUUCAUCUCAUCAACAUCUUGCCUAGUCGUGUUAUUAAUAAUGACACUCCUGCUUCGUGCUUGUUGGCCAAAUUUUCAUCCUUACAACCAACGCAAGCUUAUGUCUCGUUCAAUCCAAUGCGUUUUUCUUGGCUAUAGUGCGAAACACAAAGGGGUCAAGAGUCUUGAUGUGUCAAGUGGACGAGUUUACAUCUCUCGUGAUGUUAUCUUUAAUGAAAUCAGUUUCCCUUCGAAAAACUUCAUCCUAAUGUUGGUGCACUCCUUUGCAAAGAAAUUAUUUUACUUCUCAACUUUCAGCGUCGAUUCUGAGGGUGAUAAUAAUUGCAAUGAACCAAUUUUGACUAAUCCCUCUAAUCCUAUGGCUGAGUGUGAUGAUGCAGGUCUGAACACAGAAGAAAAUCCAGCUCAAAACAGUGCCAAUUCGGUGCCAAACAGUGUCUUUGGGCGUCAUUUUAUGUGUUCUACUGCUGCCACAGAAAAUAGCACCGAACCUGCCUUGGGGACCUUGCUGCAGCAGACUGCAUCAAGAUCUGCCGCGGGAUCCGUGAAAGUUGUUGCGGCAGCCACACCAGGGCGAUCCUCUCUGGACUCCGCGCCACCAGAUGCCACCCGCAUCGCGUCCAACACCGCCUCCCCAUGCCAGCCAGCUGGGCCCACAGAUCGCGUGGAGGCCGCCUUCCCGCCCGCCUUGUGUGCGGCUCGUGCCUGGGUAGCCGACCACCCAAUUAGGAGUGGGCUGGAUGUCGGUCGCUCGGCCCUCUCACCUGGCCCAUCUGGGCGUGUGUCUCCUGGCACACAAGAUGUGACCAGCGAAUCGGCCUCCGGAUCGCCAGCCGCCUCACCAGCAGCACUUGCUGGAUCUUCUGUGGCUCCAUCAGCACCUGACUACCCUGUUGUUCCGCCUGGAUUUGAUCAUCCCUCUGCUCCUACUGCCAUCGUCACACCACCACGCACAUGGCUUCAGAGGGGAGUAAUCAAUCAUAUUAAUUACAAGAAUAUUUCCAAGUUUGGUCCUGCCUGUUUAUCUGGUGAACCUACUAACUUCCGUGAAGCCCUUGGUGAUGCUCGCUGGAAACAAGCAAUGGAGGAGGAAUAUUCUGCCCUGCAGAAAAAUAAGACCUGGCAUUUGGUUCUUCGUCAGGGAGGUAAAAACUUGAUCGAUUGCAAAUGGGUCUAUAGGACUAAGAGAAAAUCAGAUGACACGGUUGAUCGUUAUAAAGCAAGGCUCGUCACAAAGGGAUUUAAGCAAAGAUACGGGAUUGGUUAUGAGGACACUUUUAGUCCGGUUGUCAAAGCAGCAUCCAUUCGUCUUAUGUUAUCCAUUGUUGUUUCCAGGGGAUGGAGUCUCAGACAGCUAGAUGUGCAGAACGCGUUUCUUCAUGGUGUUCUGGAAGAGGAGGUGUAUAUGAAACAACCUACUGGGUUUGAGGAUAAAAAUGCACCAUUUCAUGUCUGUAAGCUUGACAAGGCCUUAUAUGGAUUAAAGCAAGCCCCCAGAGCAUGGUAUUCUCGGUUGAGUACAAAGAUGCAAACAUUAGGGUUUGUUCCAUCCAAGUCUGAUACAUCAUUGUUCAUUUACAACAAGUUCAAAACCUCCAUUUUUGUCCUUAUAUAUGUUGAUGAUAUCAUUGUCACUAGUUCAUCCAAUGAAGCAAUAACAAGGUUGUUAAAGGAUCUGAGUUCAGAGUUUGCUCUAAAGAAUCUAGGAGACUUGCAUUUCUUUUUAGGCAUUGAAGUUAAGAAAAUCAGAGAUGGCAUUUAGGGAAGUAUGCAAAUGAUUUGUUGAACAGAGUUGGUAUGAAGGAUUGCAAGCCUUCACAAACACCGUUAUCUAGCUCAGAAUCAUUGACCUUAACUUAGGGAGAACCCUGAAUCAGGAGGACAGCACCAGUUACAGGAGUAUAGUUGGUGCAUUGCAGUACUUAACUCUCACUCGGUCUGAUAUCUCCUUUGCAGUAAAUAAAGUUUGUCAGUUUUUGCAUGCACCCACCAUUGCUCAUUGGACUGCAACAAAGCGUAUUCUAAGGUAUAUAAAGCACAUAGUUGAUCUUGGUUUAACUUUCAGCAAAUCCUCUUCUACUCGUGUGAGUGCAUUCUCUGAUGCUGAUUGGGCUGGUUGCCUUGAUGAUAGAAGAUCAACUGGUGGGUUUGCUAUUUUCUAUGGACCUAAUUUAAUCUCAUGGUGUGCAAAGAAACAAGCUAUUGUUUCCAGGUCAAAUACUGAGGCAGAACAUAAAGCAUUGGCAAAUGCUACAGCUGAAAUUAAUUAGUUACAAUGUGUGUUGAAGGAGCUUGGAGUUCCGCAAACUCUGCAUCCCUGUCUUUGGUGUGAUAACCUUGGUGCUACAUACUUAUCUGCUAAUCCAGUGUUUCAUGCCAGGACUAGACACAUUGAGAUAGAUUUUCAUUUUGUCAGAGAAAGGGUUGCAAAUAAACAACUAGAGAUCAGAUUCAUUCCCUCCAAGGACCAGCUUGCAGAUGGGUUCACAAAAGCAUUACGAGUCAAAGGCUUGGAGGAGUUUAAGCAUAAUCUCAACUUGCGUAGUUGUGAUUAAGGGAGAGUGUUAAACGUUGUAAUGCGUCCUGUAUGUCCGUCUCUUUCUCUCUCUCUCUCUCUCUUGUACUACAAGUUAUUCUCAUAGAGUUGGAAAUAAAUUGGGAUAGAGAUACAUAGAGUUGGUCUCCUUUUAAGUUUUUCUAUCUAGUCUUCUAUAACCCAAACACUGUAAUCCUCACGAGAGGCUCUCCUCUUGUUCGAUCAAUAUAAUUGUGGGCGCUCUCCUCUGGAGGGUACGACGCUUCAUCAAGUCUUACACAUGGACCAGCACACCAGUAAUGGUAGAGGUGGAGCUAGACUGAGAAUGACCGGGGCUGUUUUCAUGAGAAUAGCAGUUCAGAGGGGACGGGCAUGAUUAUAAGGAAUGACCAUGGUCUCUUUUUGGCAACGGGAAACUGUGACGCUCCAAUUUGUUGAUUAUGCCACAACUGCCGAGGCACAGGCUCUCCUAAAUAGACUUUCCUGCCCUUUUCUUCCCUCCCAGAUCUCUGUUUCCCGCCUGAACCUUCCAGCCUGUCUAAGGCGUCCUCAUUUGCCUAAGGCAGGCAGAGUGGCGCCUAGGCGGAUGCCUUGGACGCCUUAUGGACUAAGGCGGACACCUUAGACACACAGGUAAGGCAAGGCCGGCGCCUUGGCUCCUGGGGGCGCCCUGACGCCUAGGCGUCGCCUAAGCGACACCGUAGGGACACCUUAAAAACAAUGAUGGCAUCUAUCCGAGAUGGUCCACAUUUGUGGAGACUAUCUCAAACCCUGUGCCAGGAGGCAAGAACUCCUACUUUGCCAAGUGUCAGGAGGCUUGCAGGAAGGAUGUCUGAGCAGGCAUUUGGUGUGCUCCAAUCUCGAUUUGCUAUUGUUCGGUACCCCGCUCUGACCUGGUCGAAAUCUCAAAUGUGGGAGCAAAUGAAUUGAUGUGUCAUCUUGCACAAAAUGAUCAUUGAGAGCGAGCAGGAAGAGCCGGUGUUUGACAUUAUACCAUAUUUCAGGUAGGGUCCUAUUGCAACUGUUGAUCGCCAAGUCCCGGCAGCAUGGGCUGCCUUCCUCAAUAUGCAUCAGGAGAUCCGAGACCUACAGGUGCAUCAAGAACUGCAGCAUGAUCUGGUGGAGCACCUAUGGAGGCUCAAGGGCACAGCCUAGUUCGAUGUGUUUAAAUUUGUGUUUGAAUUAUGAGUUUGCUUCUUUGAACUAUUUGAUUUGUAUUGAUUUAUGUGAUGAACUAUGUGAUAAAAAAUAGUUUUGUUGAAUUUGUGCCGAAGUGUGCCGAAUUUGGGCCUAAUUUGCGCCGAAUUUGGGACGAACUCUGUGACUUGGGGAGGGGGCGAACUUGAGGGGUCGGCUGGGAACCAGAGCCCCCCCCCCCCCCACCGAAUAUAUCGCCGGUUAGCCCCCAAGCGGCGCUAUUUCAAGCCCUUGGGGGAGAUGCUCUAAGGUGGUGACUGCUCAGAACAUUGUUUGUCAUAGUGGAUGAUGUAUCUCUAUUUUUAAACAUAAUAUAAUCUGCCAUGUAGGAUUUCCGUUAACAACAAGAAAAGAACACAGGCAUGGACCAGCACAUCCGUAGCUGUAGAGGUGGAGCUAGAGUGAGAUUGAAUGGGGCUCAUUAGGGUCAAUACGGGGUCUCUUUAUGGCUGUUUUUUUUAUCAUCACCGUUCACUAUACGUGGGCUAAUGUGGUGCAGAAACUUGCGUUCGAGCUGAUUGCAAUAGAAAAUAAUUUGGUUGUGAGAUCUUAUGCAUUUUAGCUCUAGCCUACCCCCAACUUGUUUGGGACUAAAGGCUUUGUUGUUGUUGUUGUUGCAUGUGACCCCGUAGCUCUACCUAGCUACAGACGGAUACAUGCCUAACAUAUAUCAGUGAAUCCCUUCUUGACUGGUGGCACGCUGCAAAGCAAAGGAUGCCGAAGGAACAGCGGAAAGGCAUUGCAAGCAUUGUGCUCCUCACGUGUUGGAUGCUAUGGAAGCACAGGAAUGCCUGCACCUUUGACAUCAUCACCGGGGUCGCGCUUGGAUCUGGGCAGGUGUUGUUGAGCCGCCUGAAGGAUGGGACAUCUACCGACUCCCUCUCUAUGAGGCACCAAGGAAGGAUUCUCACAGAAAUUGGAGGGAGACCGGAAGAAUUGGGGUGAGUACGUAGUCAGGAUGGGAAUUGGCCAGCCUGCUCCAGCCCAGACCUGGUUCCUGAUGGCACCUCUGUUCUGUUCAGGGACAUGGAGCCAGCCCAAUGGUACAAUACUAAGUGACCUCAUGUCUCACUAGGCAACAUGGUCCAUCCCACUUUAAUACUAGAUUGCACAAAAAAGAGCAUUUACACAUGUUCUCAAAAAAAUUAACACAACAGCAUUAUUUGAACUAGCAUGAUUUAGAUGUAAGGAAUUUUACUAAGUUAAGAUAUUUAGAAUUUAGGAAAAGGCUGCGUACAAUAGACCCAAAGUGGUCGGACCCUUCCCCAGACCCUGCGCAAGCGGGAGCUGCAUGCACUGGGGCUGCCCUUUUAAGAUAUUUAGAAUUUAAUUGCUCAAAAAAAAAGGAGAUAGGCAGCUUUGUUUCUGUUUAUACCAUGAAUCGUUUGCACCAUAAGGUAGCAUAUUUGUCACUCUGAAAUAGAAGCAGUCAUGGGUGGGGCUGCAAAUGAAUAGAGCUCGAGCGAGCUGGACUAGGCUCAGCUCAACUUGUACCAAAAUUUGAGCGAAGCUCAAGGUCAAGCUGUAGAGAGUGGCUCAUGCUCAGCUUGUAACAAUUUCGAGCCGAUCUCAAGCUAGUUUCAAGCUAAAUAACAUGAUCUUGUUUUAAUAAUCUAAGGCAAGUUUUUGAACAAGAUAGGCCACAACACAACAUAAGAAACCACUAUCACAUAUUAUUCCAAUCAAAACAAUGGUAAUAUAUAAAAAAUCAAGGUAGCUGGACUAGAACUUAAUAGCAAGAGAUUGUGUAUGAAUUAGCAAGAGAAGAAACAAAGGUGCGUCACCUCUCAAACCUUGGCAAAAAAUAAUAGGAUAUUUAACACACGGCUGACCAUGUACCAUAUUGAGGCCUAAAUUUUCUCCACGCUUAAUUAAGCUUCCAUGUUUGCUAGUAGAUAAAAUGGAGAGAAAACAUACACAACAUAUAUGGUAAUAAAUUGUCCUAUUCCUUUUAUAUAAGCACCAGGGUAACAACCUUGCAAAGGUAUGUGCAUUGCAACGGUAGACUACAACCUUGGGUAACUAAAUUUGGGUCGACCAGCUUGCUCCGGUGGGCCGAUGGUGUCCGGCUCCCCUGGCCCAAUUUUCUUAUGAAGCCAACCAGAUGGGUGGCUCCCCUGGCCCAAUUUUCUUAUGAAGCCAACCCCAGAAGACCCAUCGGCCUUGAAAUUAUGGGCCAGACCAAUAUCCCAAUGGGUAACGUCAGCCCAUUCCCAUCGUGAGUAGGUAGCGAGAGAGGGGAUGUGUUCAGAGGAGAGAUGCAGACGUUUUCUCUUCACUGCACAAUGGCGUCCAUCUUACAGUUGAAUCCUUUACAUAACUCGCGACGCACACAAAGCACACCCAAGCCCACAGGCAGUCACACAGAAGCUUCCUUUUCCUGAAGAGCGAGCCUCUUCCCAGAGAGAGCUUACCAGAAAUCGAGAGCAAGCGUCUACUUAUAGCUUCAGGUGCUUCUUCAACAGGUUCUGCCCAUCCUGCUGCUAACUCUUCUAGAUCAGAGAGACCACCCUUUUCACAGUCAGGUGCACAACACCAGAGCUCUGCUUGAUUUUGGCUCUUGCCGCCAUUAUUUUCUUCCGCUACCAUCGCAGCUGAUCUAGUAUGUGCUUUAUAGUUUUCUAUACUUUCCGCUUCAUCCACCAAGUCCAUUGCCCUUUUUCGUGUCAUGUAAUGCGAGUCCACCAUACCUUUAUCCGUCAGCCUAUUUUGGUCCUUGUCCUUUCUAUAGAUUUUCGUGGCCUCUUUCUGCAUUGCCGAUCUACGCCUGUUCUCUUGCCGCCAAGCUUCUUCCAGCGUUGGUUUUCUUGGGCUAUGACACAUUCUGUUGAUGUGUCAUCGUCUUUUGACAAUCCAUCUUCUCUUCAAACUUAUCUUGUGUCUUCUACUGAUGUGUUGUCUUUGAUGCAUCAUCUUCUUGUUAUCCCUUCUUUGGCUAGACACAACAGGUUUUUGAAGACUCUUGAUGCUACAACGACACUCUGAAGACAAGGAUUUUGGAUUAUCACUAUUUUGUUUUGGUAAAACAUGAGGGGAUUGUUAAGGAGUAUUAUAUUAGAGAGUGGACGGCGUCGAGACUGGCCCGCCGUGGCCUGCAGCACCACCCUAGGUGCCUCCUUUGCGAACCAAGACCCGGAGACCAUCCAACACCUGCUCCUGGCGUGUCCAUUUGCUAAGCAGACUUGGCACAUCAUCCUGGACUGAGCGCAUAUACCUGCCCAACCGCCAGCCAACAAAAUUACCAUGAUGGAAUGGUGGCUGCAUGCAAAGGCACAGACCCCUCCUACACUACGAAAGCUCUGCAAUCGAUCACACUGCUCGUCCCCUGGAUGAUCUGGAAACAGAGGAAUGAAUGUGUCUUCGACAAUGCAAGACCCUCGAUAGAUGCGCUAGUUGAUAGGAUUAAAGACGAGGCCAAAUGUUGGGCAAAAGCUGGGGCACAGGGGUUGCGGGUUGUCUCUGCGGGUUGUCUUGCUCGCCUCCUGGGAUGUCCACUGAUCAUGCGCUAGGACUCUGUAAAUAUAACCUCCUAGGAGGCAUGUACUCUCUCUUAUCUUUUCAAUGCAGUGAAAUGCAAAAAUCAUUUUGCAUUUUCUCAAAAAAAGAAAUAGAGAGUGGAUUUUUGCUCUCGGACACCAUGGAGCCCUCUAUUUUCAAACAUUCAAAAUUCAACUUUUUUAGUUUCGAAAAGAUCUGAAAAAAAUACACAAGUACUUAUAGAUGUAUAUUAGAUGCGUGUGAAAUUUCAUCACAAAAUAUGUUUUUAUGCAGCCAAUACGAAAAAACAAAAUCAUGUGAUUUUAUAAUGAAUAGUACAUAUGCUAGAAAUACGUGGUUUUGUUAUUUUUGUGUAGCUCGCAUGAAAAAUUAUUCCGUCAUGGAACUUCACAGACAAGUACUAUACAUCCAUAUGUAUAUGCGUAUAUUUUUCAGAAUUUUUUGAAACUUAAAAUUUGAAUUCUAAAGUUCCCAAAUAAAGGUCUACAUGGAGCUCGAGCUCCAUUAGGCAUUUCCGUAUUAUAUUGGUCCAAUCUACUUUUCAUAGUCGUACUAGUCCAGAUUUCCUUCCUUAUACCCCAAGUAUAUUGUACUAUAUAUUUGCCCUAUGGGCUAUGCAAUACAAUAAGGUUGCUCCUCUAACAACACACCAUAAAUUCUGUUGUAGUUCACGAACUAACUUUUAUUUAGCAACCGGCAGGAGCGCUGCCUUUUCAUCUACAAGACGGAAAUAUAUACAUGUUGGCAUGUUUUAAAACGGGUACAUGCCGGAAACCCACCAAAACAUUCCCUAACACGGCAUGCGAACUACUCAUUGUUCUGAUAUACUCUUGGCCAGAAGGCCACGUCCCUCUGCCUGAUGUCCCCAAAAAGUGAGAUGAGAAGGUUAUUAGAAGCAUCCGGGUCGAAAUGUAGCUUUCAAAUUAAGUUCUUAAUUUGUAGAUGUUGCCAAAGGAAGUUGGUGUGCCAUACACAAAAAAGAAGCGACUCAUACAAUGACAGAGGUACAUAGAGCUCUUACGCCAUGGUUCACGAACUACUUCUCCAAUAUAAUGAUAUUUUUCAGGAACUAGCUGCAUUGCCUCCUCAUAGGAGUUUUGAUCAUGCCAUCCCAAAAGCAGAAAAAUGCCUUCUGGAGUCAAAAGCCAACUUGAUUUCAGCCUCGAUAUCCGAUACGGUAUUCUGAUGUGCCGAAAAUGUGAGGAAUUUAUCCCGUAAGUGAAAGGGUUUCUCUAGUAUCAAACCUUGCCUCUGCCCAUUCACAUAUGUUGCUUGGCCAAAAACAAGACAUGCAAACUGCUGGAAUUUAGUCUAGUUUUAGGCCAGACCAAUAGCUUUUUCAGAAAUUCAUAAUAAAUCCUAGAGGCUCACUUAGCCCAUUAGUGCAAGGCAAGAGGUGGGACUAAAGUUUAGUCCCACAUUGCUAGUUUGGUAGGAGUUGGACCUCCUUAUAAGAGAGGAUGUUUUCCCACAUGUAUGAGCAUGAGAACAAGAGACAUUCACGCGCGCUCCUCCUCUGCUGCCCGCCUCGCCACGCCUCGUCACGACACGCCGCGGGUUGCGGGAAUGAGCCGAUGUCUAAAUUUUUGCCACGCACGACUGGUAUACGAAAGGUCACACGGGAGCUAAAAAGUUUUGCUGUAGUGGAGAUUGAAAACGCUGCACCCUGUGGCUGUUGGUUGUUUGUUUCGUGUCCCUCUUUUCCUUCGCCUCACGUCGCUGUCUAUUCGCUACCUCCUCCUAUGCCUAUAAAAGAGAGGUCGAUCCUCUCCAGAGAGACACACCAGAACAUCGUCUACCUCUCGCCACCGAGUUCCAAGCUCUGAGCUACUAUAAGGUCUCGUGCACCGCAGGCCGGGACAGUAGGCCUCCGAAACACCGCCACUCCGAGUCCUGUACGGGAGAAAGGUGAUAAGGUUUUUGGGGAGCCUCUGCGCGACUACUGACUUCUUCAUCGCGGAAGCCACGGAUGCCGACGAGCGCUUCCCAAACGACGACUUCUUCCCCGACGUCGACAACCUCUUCGAUGACAUGGCCGGCGAGGAAGUCCACCCCAAGUCCAAUACUUCUGUCGCUGCUUCGUACGUCCUUGUGUUCUUUCUGUUUAAGAUCCUGCCAUAGUUUCUUGUUCUAGCUUCUGUUCUACAUAUGUUCUGUUCAUAUUCAGUACCUCAGAUGCCAUUUGCAUACUCCCUGUUAGAUUGCAUGACUUGUCUCAUAUCUGCUAUGAUAGUCAUGUUUGAUCUAUUGUUUUUGUUAAUAAAAUCAUAUGGUCAAUCGCUCAUAUUUCCAACAAUCCAAAAACCUUAUUAUAGGCAAUUUACCCCGAGUGGUUUUGUUGCUUCCAUGAGGCCUCCUAUGUUUAAGGGUGUGCACUAUAAGAGGUGGCGUCUGAUAGCCGUUCUAUGGUUUCAAACCAUGAGCUAUUGUUGGCGGUGAAUGGCUUCAGUUGCGACAUGUGGAACCCUGGAUGUAUGAGACUUGAGGGCGGAAGAUCCAAACGAUAAGCUGCAGCUCCAAUUCGUUCCAGGACUUUGAAUGGGCUGUAGAAUUUGUGAGCAAGCUUCGAGCACGGUCGACUGACGAGCGACGAGUGCGCGUAUGGUGAUGCUUGUCGUCCUGAGCCUUGACGCGCUUGUGUGCGCGGCGGAGGUGUUCCCGCAGUAAAGCAAAAAAAUCAACACGAUCAGUUGCAAGCUCUGCCAGCGAAGAGUGUAGUUCAUCCUCCAAUGUAGGCAUUGUACAAAAAUUUUGGUCUAUUCCAUAUAGAGCUUUGAAUGGGGUGCAGCCCAGUGAUAUGUUGUAGUAAGAGUUAUACCAAAAUUCCGGCAAUGGAAGCCAUUUUUUGAUAUUUUUUUCCACUUCACCAGUUGUCAUGCACUAAGCACUGCAUGUAUUCUCCAAGCAUUGAUUAACUCAGAUUGGUGCCCGACCGUCCCUCUCGUGAUCUUAGUUUAACCUACAAGCUUAUGUCUAGCCUAUUUGGCUACCCCACGGUGCCCUUAUAUAAUAGGCUUAGGCUAAACAUGUUCGCCUCAAACACCUAACCUUCCACUAAUUACAAAUCUAGCUGCAGCACAACACGUACACAUAUUCGGCACAUAUUUUAAUAGCAACCAAAGGUGAGAAAGAGAGGACUCCACCUGAAUGCCGGCGCGCGUGCACACCCCACCACACUGUAGUCUGCCACCCACUGCACCACCGUCAACCAGUGAUGUCCACGCCGUCGGACAGUUGCUGCAGUCCACACCUCCAGCGUGAGCAGCUCGCAGCCUGCCAGCGUGCGGUGUGGCAGUGCGGGCAUGAGGACCCGAUUGCACUUUAAGAAUAUAGUCUAGGGGUGUUUUUGCAAAUGUUCAGGGACAACUUUGUAAAAAAUUAUUGAAAAAAAAACAGAUUCAGUUCAGUCCUAGCUGAGUUGGCAUGACUGCUGACAUGGCGCUGCCCAGUCAGCAGUCAACGCGGUCAAAACCACUUGACCGAGGCAAAACCGAGAGGAGGUUGAGUUUUGCACCACGUGGUUAGUUUGGGGUAUUGUGCAACCGGUAUCGAAGUUCAACGUUGCAAAUUAAACCAAGUUGUUAGUUCGAGGUUGUAGUGUGGACUUCUCUCUUUCUUCUCUGACUGAUCUUACUUCUAAAGAUGCGGAAUCCUUGCUCUAGGGCGAGUUGGUGCAAUGAUUUUCUCCAGCGGCAACAUCACAAGGCUCGGUAGGAACACUAUGAAACACUAUAUGCUGAUGAAAACACACUGAUAGGAACUUCCAAAAGGGGGGCAAGUCUAUGACAAGCUGCAUCCCCAUGCUCAACAGUUUGUGCCUGCCAGACCCUAUCCGAAGAUCUCUGUCCAGUGUUUUGGGCCCUACAAAAUACUUCACAAAAUUGGUCUAGUGGCUUAUGAAGUAGAACUGCCUUCUACAUCCUGUGUCCCAUGUGUCGCAGUUGAAGCAGCAUGUGCCUGAUCAUUCGACCGUUUUCUCCAAAUUUCCUUUAGCUGCGGAGCUUGAUAUCUCUGAAGUUUCUCCGGCAGCAAUCCUGGAUCGUCGCCUCUUGAAGAAAGGCAACACUGCUCUGCUUCAGGUGCUCUCAAGCGGUCUUUCGCUGCCAGAGAAGACGACUUGGGAAGACUAUGCCAAUGUUCAAGCGUGGUUUCCAACUGCUGCAGAGGGGAUGUCAACCAGGCCCAGCUACAGGUGUGUUAGCUCAUCAGACGUGUUCCUUAAGGGGUGGUGUUUAGUGGUGGCCUAGUAGUUGUGUGUGGGCCAGGGUGUCACUUGGGUGCGUUAUUUAUAUGCCAUGAGCUGUAACAGGAGAAUUAUCGAAUGAAUAGUGAAAUUUGAUCCUCCCCCAACUACUCGCUCUACUUCUUCCCCAAGUCCUUAUCCCCUCUGAUACCCAAAUUCACUUGUAUCCUGUUACAUGUCUUUAGGGAAAGUUCAUUGGUACAAAUUAAAGGGGUAGCAAGCUCAGUGGCAGGAGAACAGUGGUGUACCUCCCCUUGGUUGCAAAGAUAAAUGUGUAGUUACGUAUACGAGGAGUGAAUCAAUGGGGUUCCACGGCUCAGUAUGCUAAUUGAUCAGUUACUAGCAAUUACAGAUUCAAUCAUUUGAAUAAUUGGAAACAACAAAAGGGCAUAUCUGCCUGGUGUAUUUCAUCUGCUAAUUCCAUAGGAAAGAAAAAUUUUGAGGGGAUUUUCAAAAUUGGGGAAGAACACAACAAAACUAGGCUAGAAAACAAGGGUAGGGACUCCGAAUUCGUGAUCAACGUGGCUCAUGAUACCAAUAUCAUGAGCAAGCUGGCUCUGAUCCAAGAUGAUGUAGGGUAGAACCCUAGAUGCCCGAUCUUUCACGAUUGGAGGGGAUCCAACGAAGAACACGGAGAACACGAGAGAAAACACGAGGAGAGAAAUCACUCAAACCAACAAGAUUUGAUUACACAUAUGCUAGAUCCUUGAAACACAAAGAGAUACAUGAUCCAAAUCCAACAAGGGCCGAUACAAGUGGCGGUAGUUCGUCUCCUGAGGAGGUCUUGAGGGGUCUUGAUGCGGAGCAUCCCUCGACUACUCACAACGACACUCCAUCACCACCGCAAGCUCCAAGUGGACCAAUGACACGAGCACAUGCACGCGCCAUCGAGAACGAGGUUGACUCUAUCCUCUUCGAGUUUCGCUCGGUUUCACAUGAGAGUUGGAUUCUACCAUCAUCGGAAAUAUUGUGCAUGCUUAGGUACCAAGAGGACGAUGGUGAGAAGGAGAGGACGGAGACUCAAGUGACCUCGAAGCAACGAAAUGAAGAGAAGGAAGGAGAGAACGAGAAGGAUGAAGAAGGAGGAGAAGGGGCAAACCCCCUGGACGCCCCGAGUGCCCGGCACCUCCAGCCCCUGGGUGCCCGGGCCCCUGGCCACCUACAGCCGCGCCCCGGGGUGCCCGGGCCUUGGCUGGCCGGGUGCCCGGCCCCCCUCUGCCAAGCCGCUGGGCUCAGCACCGGGUGCUUGGGCUUGAGGCCCCGGGUGCCCAGCCGCUCCACCCGGCCAUCUCCAGCGCCACCCCCGGGUGCCCGGGACUUGGGCCCCCGGGUGCCCGGGACUUGGGCCCCCGGGUGCCCGGGACUUGGGCCCCCGGGUGCCCGACCGCCCCGCCCGGCCAUCUCCAGCGCCACCCCCGGGUGCCCUGGGCUUGGGCCCCCGGGUGCCCGGCCACAUGCCAGCCGGCCCCUGAGCAGUUCGGGUGCCCGGCCCCCUCCGUCCAGCCGCACGUUUAUGGCAUUUUUGGCCUUGUACCCCUCUCUUCUUGACUUGUUUCGCCCCUAAACUAUAUAAGGACACCUCCUAGGUCAUUUGUAGGGUUAGCAAAGAUUAGACUAAACAUUGUGAGCCUUUGCUCCUUGUAUCCCCUCCUCUUAGGAGAUCAAGCCCCCGCCUAGGGAAGAAUCCAUUGGAUUGUCAAGGCCUCCUCUUGGAGAAGAUCAUCAAGACCUCACCUAGUGGGAAGAAUUUACCUAGUGCUACCCUCCUUGUAUUGAUCUUGUAAUCUUGUGGAUCUCAUGUAUGCUACUCUAGUGGAUGUGAUAUUUGGGUUUGUUUGAGAGUUUUGUUCUUGGUGUUCUUGAGUGUUUUCCUCCUUUUCCCCCUCCAAGUGUGAAAAGAUCCUUCCUAGGGUUUGACCCUACAACAUCUUGCUAUCAUGAGCAAGGUUUAUUCACAUCUUGGAGUCCCAUCCCCCCAUUUGCUAGCUUGAUUUUGUUGUUUUUCGUCCAAAUCCGAAAAUCCCCACAAAAAUAGCCCCAAAACUUUUUCUUGCAAUUUGUUGGAUCUUGUGAGAUUUGGUUGUUUUGGUCCAUGGAUUUGAUGUUUGGCAAGUGGAUCUAGCCCCUCCCCAACAAUCCUCACCCUUCCCACCACGAAAUUCAUGGAAUUUUCCGUUUUCCCCAGUUUUUCCGCCCAUCCCGAAGAACACCGGGUGCCCGCACCUCGAACCCCCGGGCACCCGCACCUCACACCCCCGGGUGCCCGUACCCCCCCCCCCAAAUCAGCCCACUACAAACACCAUUUUGGCCAUAACUUCCACCUCCCAAGUCCGUUUUUCGUGUUCUUUAGCUCGUUUAGAAGCUCUUGACAUCCCCCAUCCACUCAUCCCGCUACCACCACCAUUAGCCCCCAUCCAAAAAAAUCAUCACAAAAACACCCACCUUCUGCAUUUGACCGAUUUUGUGUUGCCAUUUGCGUUUCCUAAGGUGUUUCGGCUACUUAGGAGCGUGUGACAUCUUCAUCACCAUCAUCGACUCGGAGUCAUAUUCAUCGCUAACCAUAAGAAAGGACGGUAACCUCAACGACACUUACUCCUUACCUUGCUUUUGCAUUGAUAGCCCGGGCCACUUUGCGUCGCUUACCCAUUGAGACUAGCAAGUUGAGAAUUGCCGGGCCACGCUAUUGUGCACCGUAGUGAUCGUGUUAUCAUCUUAAUGCCAUAAGUCUCUCCCGUGCAUAUCAUACAUACUUGUCUCAAAUCAUACUCGGCUCGAGCAUCAAGCAUAGAAAAAAAAAGAAGAAGAAAAGCUUUUAAGCAAAAGAGGAGAAACAAAGAGCUUGUAAGCAAUAGAGUUGAGCCAUUUACAUACCUAUAUCAUCUUGGUCAUCGCAUAUAUAUCAUAGUUGGGAUUGAAGAUGGCACGGUUCUCUCAUAGGUAGGUGCACAAGUGUAUCUUGCACAUUUGAGCAAUCGAGCUAGUGUCUCUCGCGCAUUCGCACAACAAGAGCAUUUUCCGUGGUUGCACUUUUCGAGCUCACUCCUUGGUUGUGCGGAUCCCAUCUAUCUUCCGUGCGUGCGUGCCUAGUGAUACCUUUGGGUUUGAUCUAUUUGCUUUACUUGCAUUUUUGUGAGCCUUCUCAACCUUAUCGAUAUCUUGACUAACAUUUGCUUGAAAUUUUUGCCACCAUCCUAACCGAGCUACUCCAUGAGCCUCUUACUUGUAGGUGUGAGAAACAAACCCGGUUCCAAUUCUCCUAUUGUGGCAUUACAUUGAGUGACACUUGUUACAUCUUCAAUCCUCGGAGAAGGUAACUUUGGUAUUGUUCUCUCACUUUCCUACUCACCCUACUUGGUUAUGAUGGAUAGGCCAAUCUCGUCGUCGAACCCACUUUUCGAGGAGCAAGGUGAUGAUUCCGGCUUUGUCUCCAAGAACCACUUCUUCAUCAAGCAACGAGCGCUUCAUCAAGAAAACGUCGCAUUGGGUGAACGCUUGGAACAACUCGCCUCCGACCUUCGUCAAAACAUCGACGACAAAUGCAACACACAAAUGGAAGAGCUCCGCAACAUGAUCGUUCGACGCCCGUCUUCCUCAUCGGCUUCUUCAAGACGGCGCCACUCAAGUCACCGUACAAGUCGGCAAUCUUCGGACUACUACUCUUAUGAUGCAAGUCCACCAUGAGCUCGCCUUCCUCGACGUGAUCAUCAUCAAGCUCACCGAGCUCAAGAAAAUCCAUUCCAUGGCAAUGGAUUACAAGACCGAGUUCGAGCACGUGAACGGAUGUGACACCAAGUCCCUCAUGGAGCAAUGGAGCAAGAGCAAAUACCUCCACAAGUACCACCUCAAGCCCCUCAAGACGGUGAUGCACUUCGACAAGCACAAGAGCAACGUGAAGCACAAGCCCUCGUCCGUGAAGCUCAAGCACUUGAAGCACAACAAGCUCUACAAGAGGCCACUAGAGCCAUUGAAGUCCGCAACCGCCAAGUGCGAGAACAAGAGGAAGCUCUUCGACGCGAGAUACAAGAAGAAGCCGCCCUACGCGAAGAACAACAAGAAAGGCGCAACCAAGCGCACAUUCCUCGCCCUCCUCCAAGACAAGAGCGACACAAAGUGGAACAAGUUCUUCAAAACCCUCCUCCAUGCCAAGAGCGACAUCAUGAGGAACGAGCAUUUGAGGACUUUCCAAGGCAAGAGCAAUAUCACAACCGCUAUCAAGAUGAAGAACUCCACUACGGCAAGCUCAAGUUCACCAUGCCAAAGUUCUCCGAAAGCAAUAAUCCCGAAGAAUAUCUCUCUUGGGCAUUGAAGGUGGACAAGAUUUUUCGCCUCCACAACUACGAUGAAGAAAAUAAGAUAGCCAUGGCCUCCCUCGAGUUCCAAGACUACGUCCUCAUUUGGUGGGAACAAGUGAUCGAGCGACGACAUACAAGAGGCGAACCUCCAAUCACCACUUGGGAAGCCAUGAAGGAAGUCAUGAGAGCCCGCUUUGUGCCUACUCACUACACUCGAGAUCUUUUCAAGAAGUUGCAACUCCUCAAGCAAGGCACCAAGACGGUGGAAGAAUACUACCAAGAAAUGGAGAUUGCCAUGAUACGAGCCAAAUGUCAAAGAAGAUGACGAGCAAACAAUGGCACGCUUCUUGAACGGCCUCAACCACCCAAUCAAGCGGAUCGCCGACUUCCAACCAUACUCCAACCUUCUUGAGCUAGUUCAUCAAGCGACCAAGGCUGAGCGACAAGUGCAAGAUGACUUCAAAUACGCCAAGUACUCGUCCAAGACCUAUGGCUCCUACUCUCAAGCUCCCGCGACUUCGGCACCUCCUACAUCAACUCGAGCAUCACCAAGUACCGGCGACAAGUCAAGUUCCAAGCAAGUGGCACCUUCCUCGACUCGUCCUCCGGCAAGCACCUACAAAUCCAAGACUCCUUCAUCUUCGGCGCCUCCCAAUGAUCCCGUCAGGACAAGUUCAAUCAAGUGCUUCACAUGUGGCGGCCGAGGCCACAAGUCCUUCCAAUGCACCAACAAGCGAACAAUGAUCUUCAACGAUGACGGCAUAUAUGACUCAAUGAGUGAAGAAGAAAUGGAAGCCAUUAAGCACGUGGCCAUGCAUCGGCGCGUGAACGAAGAUGAAGAUGACCAAGUCUUUUGUGACAAUGAUUCAAGUCCCUCUCUCGUGGUCUCCAAGGUCUUGACGCUUCAACACCACCAAGAAGAAGACCAACGGUGCCACAUCUUCCACACCAAGGCCGGCAUCAACAGAAGGUCCGUCAAGGUCAUCAUCGAUGGAGGUAGUUGCCACAAUUUGGCAAGUGAAGAACUAUGCUCCAAGCUUCAAUUGGUCAAGAGGAAGCAUCCGCACCCUUAUAAGGUUCAAUGGUUAAGUGACUCCGGCACUAUCCGAGUUGAGCAUACGGUCCAAGUCUCCUUCAAAAUUGGUGCAUAUGAGGACACUUUGGAGUGUGAUGUGGUCCCAAUGACCGUUUGCCACCUCCUUCUUGGUCGACCAUGGCAAUUCGACCGUGGUGUUAUCCACAAUGGGUGUACCAAUCACUAUAGCUUCAAGAUGAAAGGGAAGAAAUAUGUGCUACGACCUAUGUCUCCUAGUCAAGUGAUAGCCGACAAGCAAGCCACCCAUCAUGGAGAGAAGAGUGAGAAAGUGAGCCACCCAAACGUGAGUGAGAGCCACAAGCCAAACUUGAGCGCCUUUUCGCCUAGAGAGAAAAACCUCAUACUAUUUGCCACAAAAAGUGAGAUGAGAGAAGUGUGUGAGAACCCAUUGAGUGUGAUGCACUUUGUCCUUGUGUGCAAGGAUGGAGAACCAAAAACUAACACCGCUCACGAGCUACCUUUGGUGUUUCAAUCUCUUUUGCAGGAAUUUCAAGAUGUUUUCCCCGAUGAGCUACCUCCGGGUCUCCCUCUUCGAGGCAUUGAGCAUCGAAUCGACCUCAUCCCCGGCGCUCCUCUUCCAAACAAGGCUCCCUACCGCGUCAACCCCGAAGAGACAAAGGACAUUCAACGGCAAGUACAACAACUCAUCGACAACGGUCAUGUACGUGAAAGCUUAAGCCCUUCUGCCGUUCCCGUUAUACUUGUGCCCAAGCAAGACGGUAGUUUUCGCUUGUGUUCCGAUUGUAGACCCAUAAAUGCUAUUACCGUUUGCUAUAGGCAUCCCAUUCCUCGCUUAGAUGAUAUGCUUAAUGAACUUAGUGGAGCCAACUUUUUCUCAAAAAUUGAUCUUAAAAGUGGCUAUUAUCAAAUCCGCAUACAAGAGGGUGAUGAAUGGAAAACCGCUUUCAAAACCAAAUUUGGCUUAUAUGAAUGGUUAGUCAUGCCUAUGGGUUUAUCGGAGGCUCCCGGUACUUUCGUGCGUCUCAUGCAUCAUGUACUUCGCCCUUAUAUUGGAGUCUUUGUUGUGGUUUACUUCGAUGAUAUUCUUGUGUUUAGCAAAACCAUGAAAGAGCAUCUUAAUCAUGUUAGGGCUGUUUUGCAAACACUUCGCAAGGAAAGUCUUUAUGCCAACAUGAAAAAGUGCACAUUUGGUGUUGACAAAGUGGUUUGGGUUUUGUUGUAUCUUCCAAGGGUGUCCAUGUUGAUGAAUCUAAAAUUGAAGCAAUUAAAAAUUGGCCCCAACCCACCAAUUUGCAACAAGUGCGAAGUUUUCUUGGCCUUGCGGGUUUUUAUCGUCACUUUGUGAAAGAUUUUAGCACUAUUGCCGCUCCUUUGCACGCUUUGAGCAAGAAGAAUGCUCCUUUUGUUUGGGGACCUUUGCAAUCAACCGCUUUUGAUGAGCUCAAAUCUUUGCUUAAACAUGCUCUGAUUCUUGCUUUACCCAACUUUGACAAAACUUUUGAGGUUCAUUGCGAUGCAAGUGGUACCGGAAUUGGUGGCGUUUUGAUGCAAGAAAAACGAGCUAUUGCUUAUUUUAGUGAAAAACUUUCCGGUGCUCAACUUAAUUAUCCCAUCUAUGACAAAGAAUUGUUUGCUUUAGUGCGUGUGUUACAUGUGUGGGAGCAUUACCUUAGACCGCAUGAGUUUGUCAUACAUACCGAUCAUGAAACACUUAAAUACCUCAAAGGUCAAACCAAGUUGAAUAAACGGCAUGCUAAAUGGAGUGAAUUCAUUGAAUCUUUUCCCUAUGUGAUAAAGUACAUUAAGGGCAAAGAAAACAUGGUGGUGGAUGCCCUUUCCCGCAAAUGCAUGUUACUUACUCAACUUGAAUUGAAUGGCAUAGGAUUUGAUCAUAUCAAAGAUUUGUAUGAGGGUGAUGUGACUUUUGCUACUCCUUAUGCUAAGUGUGUGACGCAUACUUCUUGGGAAAGAUAUUAUAUCAAAGAUGGUUAUCUUAUGAGAGCUAACAAACUUUGCAUUCCCAAGUGUUCUCUUCGUUUGCUCCUUUUGCAAGAGGCUCAUGGAGGUGGACUCAUGGGACACUUCGGACGCGACAAGACUUUCGCCACGCUCUCCAACAACUAUUAUUGGCCCAAGAUGUUUCGAGAUGUUGCCCGCUUCACCAACCAGUGCUCUACAUGUUGCAAAGCUAAGUCACACUCUCAAUCCCAUGGUUUACAUAUGCCUUUACGUAUUCCACAUCAACCUUGGGAAGACAUUAGCAUGGAUUUUGUGCUUGGAUUACCUAGAACUCAAAAUGGCAAGGAUUCCGUUUUUGUUGUUGUGGACCGUUUCUCUAAAAUGGCUCAUUUUAUCCCAUGCAAUAAGAUAGACGACGCUUCACAUGUUUCCAAUCUCUUUUGUUGGGAAAUCUUGAGGUUGCACGGUGUGCCAAAGACAAUUGUGUCGGAUCGAGACAUCAAGUUCUUAAGCUACUUUUGGAAGACUCUAUGCGCCAAGCUCGGGAUCAAGCUACUAUUCUCCACGGCAUACCAUCCUCAAACCGAUGGCCAAACGGAAGUCACCAACCGGACGCUUGCGACUCUCCUACGUGUGUUGAUAAAGAAGAACAUCAAGGAGUGGGAGGAGUGCCUACCCAUCGCCGAGUACGCCUACAAUCGUGCAAGACACUCUACAACCGGCAAGUCCUCCUUCGAGGUCGUCUACGGUUUCAACCCUUUAUCGCCAUUGGACAUCCUUCCUCUACCGCUUCAAGAACGAGCAAACAUGGACGCAAGUGAAAGAGCCGCCUACCUCAAGAAGAUGCAUGAAGAAACACGUUCCAUGAUCGAGUGCCAAGUGCAACGCCUCUCCGCCAAGCUCAACAUCAACAAGUCUCCGAUGGUGUUCCAACCGGGUGAUCAAGUAUGGAUACAUCUCCGCAAAGACCGCUUCCCCAAGGAACGCAAGUCCAAGCUACUACCACGAGCCGACGGACCAUUCAAGGUGAUCGCACGCUGCAACGACAACGCCUACAAGGUCGACAUCCCACGCGACAAGUACAACGUUAGUGACAUCUUCAACGUCAAAGACUUGGCCAAGUACCAUGGUGAUGAAGAGCACGAUUCGUGGACGGAUCUUUCCCAGGGGGGGAAGAUGAUGCGGAGCAUCCCUCGACUACUCGCAACGACACUCCAUCACCACCGCAAGCUCCAAGUGGACCAAUGACACGAGCACGUGCACGCGCCAUCGAGAACGAGGUUGACUCUCUCCUCUUCGAGUUUCGCUCGAUUUCACAUGAGAAUUGGAUUCUACCAUCAUUGGAAACAUUGUGUGUGCUUAGGUACCAAGAAGACGAUGGUGAGAAGGAGAGGACGGAGACUCAAGUGACCUCGAAGCAAGGAAAGGAAGAGAAGGAAGGAGAGAACGAGAAGGAUGAAGAAGGAGGAGAAGGGGCAAACCCCCUGGACGCCCUGGGUGCCCGGCACCUGCAGCCCCCGGGUGCCCGGGCCCCUGGCCACAUACAGCCGCGCCCCCGGGUGCCCGGGCCUUGGCUGGCCGGGUGCCCGGCCCCCCUCUGCCCAGCCGCUGGGCUCUGCCCCGGGUGCCCGGCCGCUCCACCCGGCCAUCUCCAGCGCCACCCCCGGGUGCCCAGGACUUGGGCACCCAGGUGCCCGGCUGCCCCGCCCGGCCAUCUCCAGCGCCACCCACGGGUGCCCGGGACUUGGGCCCCCGGGUGCCCGGUGUCAGGACCCCGACUCAAUGCCACAUUGAUCUAGCAUGUAACACCUCAUAUCACUUUGCGGCCUCACGCACGGUAUUCCCACGGGUGUCGCCUUAUCUUUGCCCGGGACCGUUUGCGCCUUUUGGCACACGUAUAUGAUAGUGUCGCUAGCAUCCAUAUGAUAAGGAGCCCGGGCUGACAUGACUAGUCGUAAACCCAAAGUGGCACAGACUUACAGGGACAUGCACCCAUGACCCAGCAUCGAACGUGUCGGUCAUCAGCAAGUGGGUCCGGGCUGUAGCACUGGGCUAGCAGGACUCCGGUAAACCAGGCUGUAGCGGGCUAACAGGGCUCCGGUACUCAAUGCGUGACAUUUCCCCGAGGGGACAGACACAGGAACGAAGAAGGACACAUGCCGGCCAGCCUAAGUGUUCCGGAGCAGUAGCAAGCUACCAUGGCUCAGUGGAAACACUAGGAGACAUUUCCCGGUAAGAGAGGCUACUAAAGAUAAACAACUAGAUAGUCAGAUCCCACACAUACCAAGCAUUUCAAUCAUACACACAAUAUGCUCGAUAUGUGCAAAUACAACAAGGCAUCACAACAUGACUCUAUGACACAAGUAAGUAUUCAUUAGGCUCCGAGGAGCGAGAUAUUACAAACAGGGGUCUCAUGACCCAACAUUCAGAGCAUACAAAUCAAAGCACAAGCGGAAGCUAUCAUGUCUGAGUACAGACAUCUAUAAAUGAAAAAGGCUGAGAAGCCUGACUAUCUACCAGAUCCUGCCGAGGGCACAAGAUCGUAGCUGAGGUAACAAGCUAAACGUCGAAGUCCACGCGGAACUACUAGUGAGACUGAAGUCUCUCUGCAAAAACAUAAAAUAGGCAAACGUGAGUACAAAUGUACCCAGCAAGACUUACAUCAGAACUAUCUACAUAUGCAUCCUUAUCAACAAAGGGAUGGUGGGGUUUAACUGCAGCAAGCCAGCUUUGACUUGGUGGCUAUCCUGAACUACGACUGCAAGUAACUCUUUUGAGGUGGCGCACACGAGUCCACAUAUUCACCAUAUCAAUACACCACUAUGGAUCCGCUCUCGUCUCCCUACGAGAACGCCAUCCAUAGCACUCACGCUUAUCUUGCGUAUUUUAGAGUAUCCACAUUCACUUGUCUAUGAACUGAUAUAAGCAACCCAGAAGUCCUUUACCGCGGACACGGCUAUUCGAAUAGAUGAUGUUAACCCUGCAGGGGUGUACUUCUUUAUACAUGUUUCCACCACUUAGCGUCUGCACACGACAUGUGCUCGGCAGACUUCAAGCGAAAACCGACGUGGGUGUAGACCACGACCUACCUAAACACUCAAGUCUCUAGUCCAGGUUUAUCGCCUAUUCGGGUUCCAUCCAUGAGGAGAUCCGGCCGGAGUUUCGCUCACAGCCCCAAACGAUGUGAACAGGGUUCCGUGACACCAAACGGGCGCCCGGUAUACCCGGCCACGUGCCUACCGCAUCACAGCCCACCCCUCCGGUCAGCGCUGUGCACGGCCUCCAGCAUACUACAAACACCAGAAACUACUUGCAACUCCUGGACAGAGGACUUGGGUGAAUAAGAAGUCGAGCGGGGUCAUAUUUCAGGGCCCAAUGUAUGGUAGUAGCUGAAUCAUGGAUCACAAACACAGAGCUCAGUUCCUAAGGACGGCUGAGACAACCCACCAUGUACUCCUACAUGGCCUCUCACCGCUACCUUUACCAAAUCGUGUUCACCACUUAGCUCACACACAGUAGGACAUGUUCACACACCUCUGAUUCAUCCCCGAUGAAUCGGACCUAACUCAACUCUAAGCAAUAGCAGGCAUGACAAACAAACAUGAAUGAGUAGGCACAACAUGGCUCAAACAACUCCUACUCAUACUAGUGGGUUUCAUCUAUUUACUGUGGCAAUGACAGGUCAUGCAGAGGAUAAAGGGGUUCAGCUACCGCAGCAAGUAACAGUUGAAUCGUUGUUGUCCUAAUGCAGUAAAAGAGAGCAGGAGCGAGAGAGUAGGAUUGUAUCAGAAUGAACAAGGGGGUUUUUGCUUGCCUGGCACUUCUGAAGAUAAUAUAGCUCUUCAUCGGUGUCAUCGAUCACAUCGCCGGUACACGUCUAUCGAGAGGGGACAAUUACCGGCAAACAAGGAAGAACACAAUCAAUGCAAUGCGACAAUAUGAUGCAUGAAUGUGACAUGGCAAUAUGAUGUGAUUUGGGCUAAUGCAUCUAGCAACAGGUUAAAUGGGGUUGGUUUGAACACUAGGUUCAAAUUCAAACUCCAUAUGUGAGAGUUUAAAUGCCAUUUAAUUGAAUUGUCCUAAACAGUGGUCAUAAGUUGUUCUAACAUGCAUGAAAAUGGUACAGAUUUAUAGAUUGGAUUUUUCUGAUCAUUUUUCAUAUAUAAAUUAUUUCAUUUGGAGUUACGGUUGAAUUUCUAUGAAUUUUUGAAGUUUGGGAUAUUUUCUGGAUUUUCUGAAUUAUUUUAAAUCCAGAAAGAAAUAAUUGCAUCAGCCUGACGCCAGCAUGAUGUCAGCGAGUCAACGGCCAGGUCCAGGUCAAACCUGACGUGCGGGGUCCACACGUCAGUGACACAGGAACUAAUCUCGGUCAAACCCAGCGCUGACUGGGGUUUGACCAGGGGUGGGGCCCACUGUCAGUGGCUGUAGGUUGUUUAACUAGCUGGGUUAGCUCCUAAUGACGGAGCCACGUCAGCUCCCGCCGGAGUUUCGCCGGCAAUGACCUAAACUGCGGCGGAGACGCACCGGGGUGGCUCGGGUUCGUCUAUACUGCACCGUUCAGUGCGCCCUUUGGCCCUACGAAGAGCUGGCGCGAUGGCGCGUCGGAUGGUCGUGGUCUCCGGGCCUGGGGUGGCCGAAGUCGACGGCGGCGAGCUCGGUUGCGGCCGCCGGAGCUCGGGUGAGACACGGGCGACCACUAGAGGGCACGGGAGGGCGAGCUGCGGCAUGCAACGGGCUCGUGGAGACGUUCUGAGCACGAUGGUGUACUCGGGUGGGAGCUCCAGUGGCUGCAGUGACGGCGGCGACGAGGUCAGCGGCGGCCGGAGUUCGGCCGCGACGGAGCUAUGGCCUAGAGCUCGCAAACGCGAGGGGAAAGAGAGGGGUUCUGCACGGAGGCUCACAGCGAGGUCGAUGAGCAGCUCGGUGGUCUCGGGGAGGCGUCGGAGGCGGCGAAUCGACAAGCGGCAUCCGGCGGCCGUGCGUGAAGAAGACGGCUCGAUGACGGCGAUGCAGGGCGUCCGAGGUCGCUUGACUCGGCGGAGAGGAUGAGGGCGAGGUAGCCGAGCUACUGGGCACACCGAGGGGUCGAGGGGGAGGCUCUGGGUGCGGGAACGGCGAGCGGCGGCGAUGAGCUCUGCUCGGGCUGCGCGAGAGAGAGAGCAGAGGAGGGGGAAGGGGUCGAGAGAGAGAGCAGAGAGCGAGGGGAGAGACAGAGGGGGCUACGGGCGUAUCCAGACGCGUCGGGGCGCCUCAGUGGCAAGCAGGAGGUGGCCAGGGCGGCGUCGGCGCUCGCCACCGAGCUGCUUCGGUGCGAGGGGAGGAAGACGAUAGGAAAAGGGUGGGCUGGGCCGCGCUGGGCCGGUCCUGUUGGGCUACCAGGUGGGCUUCACAGGUAAGUCGCCAGGUAUGUGCUCUGUUUUAAUUCCUGUUUAUGUUUUCUAUUUUUUUUUAAAUUUGUUUUGCCACUGUUUUGAAUUAAAAAAUAAUUCAAACAAUGCCAAAAACUCCUCUGAAUAUUUUUGUUUUGCUAGAUGGACUUUUCCAAAAGCUCAUAAAAUAUUUCAGGGGUAUUUGAAAUUAUAUUCUAAUUAUAUGAAUAUAAUUCAAAUUCAAAUAACUAAUGAUUUAAAUUCAAAGUCCCAAGAUUAAGUCCUUAAAAAUGUUCAAUAUUUUGGUUGGGACCAGAACCCUUUGCCAAAAUUAUCAAACAUUUAAGAAGAGCAUUUUGGAACAAUGAAUGAGAUUUUAGGGUUUUUUUGCCCUUCUUUUAUUUAGGGUUUUGAGGCUUCCAAAUUUCCCCAGUUCAAGUUCAAAAAUUUAAACAUGAUGCAAACACUAGGCAGCACCAGAAGCUAGGGAUGUGACAACUCACCCCCACUAAACAAGAAUCUCGACCCGAGAUUCAAGUGUAGGGUAAGACGAAGGGGAACGCAACCUAACACAAUCUUCACGAUCCAGGUUGCCCUUCAUAAGAACAUUGAUUCGAUCACCAUCAUUGUCUUGAUGUCUUGCUCCGAGAAUGCCAACCGACAUGACAACGAGAGGGGAAAGAAAACUCUAGAAGGAUCGAACUUCUCGAAGGUCGAACAACUCACGGAAUGAGACAUAGAACCAUCUCUCGGGUUGAGACACGAGAUACACAUCAAGAGGGGUGGAAAGAAAUGGAUGACGAAGGUUCACUAGGUGGACAACAAUUCCACACUUAAAAAGGUGGUAAACGAUUGUCAACGUAGCGAGGAGUUGAGUUUCCAUGAUGCCACAGCGGGACAUCCUGGAGGAGGGUGAUUCGUAGAUUAUUACCUUAAGUGGCAAAAAGAAUUACCUUUGAUAUAGAGAUCAUUGAGACUCUCUAUAUCAGCCUAAGGCAAAUCACAGCAAUCGAUUGGCGGGGGUCGGUAGGAUGGCAUACUCGGACUUGGAUGAUGUGGAUUACCUUGUUGAAGACAACGUAAUGGAUGAAUUUGCUUACCACCAGAAAUGGAAGAGACCCAUGGUAGAAUGGCACAUUGGCGGUGCAAGCUGGGAACAAAAUGCAAAUGCUGGAAAUGAUUCUGGUAACUGGGGAAGAACCCAACAAUAGAGAGUGAAUUCCCUGUUUGAAAAGGUCAUAGCAUUGCCAAGGAAAUUGAGAGCACUAUAUAGUUAAUGCCGACGAUCAAACCUAGCACUUGCGCGUGCUCUCAAGAACUUGAGCAUUUCCAUAAUCAUCAAGAUUUUACCAAUAUCCGUGUCAAGGAUCCUGGCAACACAACUUGCUACCAUGAUGAAUGAUGAUGGAUGAUGCAGAUGCAAAGAAAGAUAACACUUUCUCAGAUUUCACCCUUGGCGGGGCCAAGGAAAUAAAAUCUGGAUGAUCGACCGAGAGACAUUUAGCACUCCGCUUCUAAUGUUCUCCUUGAUGUGCUAGUGUAACCCAUUCAUAGAAAUGGUCUGGUAUCUAGAACAUCAAGUAAAGGUCGGACUUCGGAAACACAAAAAUUCAUAAGGAACAACUAGGGAGGUAAAUCCUACGAAAUCCUUAUGGGGAGGUGGCCAACUUCUUCAAUCAAGAUACUACAAUAAUAGGUCUUUCGGCUGGGUGUGUUGGCCACGACAUCCACUUUACCGGUUACAGAGAGACCAUUAUUAUAGUUCUUGGGAAAUGUUCCAACCAUCAUAUCUGCCUGAGAUUCAGAUCUGGUUGGUGUCAGGAUAUUCCAGACUCAUCGAGUCUAGGAAGAAAAAUGAAAGUUUGCAACACAAUUCGACGAGAUGACGUUGCGAGAUUCUCGGGAAAUGAACUACGAUAGCAAGCUCUAAAACAUGAGCUGGUUCUGCUACACACAUGUGAACACGUUGUCCCAGACAAGCAUGACCACAUAGUAGUCUUAUAAUAAAACACUACCGAGUUCAGGUUGGGAAACCAUCACCGUGGAUAACGAAGUCCUUGCAUAAGUCAUAUGAUUAGCUCUUAUGAGGGAACUUCUUCUCCUUGAACAAAUCAAUCAGUGGCUUGGUGUGCUCGGGACACAUAUGGAAUGAAGGUUGCAAGUCUCCAGACCACAGAAUACUUCGCACGUGUGCAUGACUGACUUGUGAUGAUUCCAGAGGAAGCAAAACUAACUUUCUCAAAUUCAUGGCGGCAACUUUCACCAAAUGCACGUGUAUAAGAGGAAGUCACUCCUUUCAUCAAACAAAUACUUCAUGAGCUAGCAUGAAGAAAAUGCUUCAAAAGUUUCCAACACUAACUUAUUGUCCAACAAGAUCUUGGAGAAGAUAAAAUGAUGUUGAUGGGCUCAACAACAAUUCAUCGAGAUUUCCAUGAAGAUGGAAUUCCCUAAUUAUGUGAACAGGUGAUAGCAUUGGUCAGACCCAUAAGAUAUAAUGGUGCAUGCUCGAGGAGUCAACCACGAGUAAGACAACAUUACGAACAUCGUUGGUUCUGAUUUGAUUUGAGAAUAGCCCACACUCAAAUCAAAGUUUUAACAAGAUAAUAGGUCCAACAACUGAUCACAGGGACCAAUCGAUGAAGACAUCAUCUUUCUUCAACAUACACACAUACACGGAAAGAUAUCCCUUAACAUGAACUAAAUUAGGCAAGCCUUUAUCUUCCAACUCUCCAAGUUGCUGUUCAGCUUAACCAUCUAGCUCAGGGGUAUCCAACACAGACUCUUGGAGAAGGGGUGGUUUACAGGAAUAAACCAACUUGAUCACGAACUCAACAUAGCGGUCAGGUGACAACCUGGUAAUACUUUCGAGAAGAUAUUCCGAAAAUCACGAACCACCGAUAUGUUACUAAGAUCGAGGACAAUCCUGCUUUUCAGGGCAAGACGAUAUGAUCAAUAGAGCAAGGAUUUGAAAUAAUCCUAACUCAUCGAUCGAGGAGUGAACCAGGAGAAUGGACUAGGUAGCACGAUCAAUCUUAGAAUGAUGAUUCAAUAACCAACAUGCUAAGAAUGAAUUUAUUGUCCAUUUAACUACCAAGCAACAGAGUUGCUAGCAGUAUUGAUUUCACACACCAUGAUUCACUUGUCGGCAUUCUGGUUCAACAACACGGGGACCGAGAAAUGAAUAAUGAUGGCGAGAAGUAUCAGUGCACCAAGAAUUCAUAAGAUGAUGUGUAAUUCCUAUGACUUUCUUGACAUAAAGAGGGUAAUACUUCAAGGUAGAACAGAACAAAAGCUGGAUUGGCAUUUUGAUCUGCGGAAUACAACUACUUUGACCCAAUCCUGGAAAUGGAUAAGGUACUGGAGUUUGUUUCUCCUAGUCAUUCUGGAAUAGAAUGGCUUGACGGACCACAAGAAUAAUAAGCAUUGAUAACACGAAUGCACAAUUACUCCUGACUAUCAAUUGAUAGACGAGGGCCAGAAAACAACUAAAGAGGGACAACUCAAAGGAACAUACGAUUUUCUGAGUUGUGGAUGCAUGGUUUAGCAUGUCGAACGAAGUUCAACAUAUUUCUUCCAGAUAACCCAUGCAGAAAGGUAGAACUGGCAGAGCCACAAUAUAUAAUGGAGAACUCAUCAAGAGCACUCUGGUUGUGAUUGUUCAGUUCAACGAGGAACUUCUGCCAUAAGUAGUUCAUGGUAUUUGGAAGAAGAAGAUACCACGGACUUCAAGGACUAUCGCAAAGGUUACUAAUAACCUAAGGGAGCUAGCAAUUACUAUCAACAUGAAGUAAGUAGGGUGAAUCUCGGUUCGAAAACCCAGAAGUGAAAUGCCUACUAACUAAGUGGCAUCACGGGAUGCUUACGAGAAUGAUGGCCAGAAUCAUCACACUGGGACACAAAUCAUGGCUAAAUUACUAGAUGAACCCCUAAGACACCUAGGGUCAUAAUACUAGCUCCAACAUAUAUGUCAAGGCAAUAAAGUACCUCAACUCACCGAUUAGUGUGGUUAAUCUGGCCCAAAGGAACAUCAAAACGGGAGGAAGGAAUUUGCAAAUUGCUUGAGACUAUUUAGAAACCUGGGAUGACUCGGACAGCAUAACGGCUGUAAAUGCUCAGAAAAGAUUUGAGACAUUUCACAAAAAUGGUGGCAUAACCACUCAGAAGCACAAUAUCAAGGUUUCGAGAUCAACAGUUAACAUACAGAAGUCGUAGGAACUGAACUCAAGCUUAAAUCCAACAAUCUUAUAAGUCUACGGAUUAGUAACACGUGAUCCUGAUAGAAAGAAGAGAUAGCCUAGUUCCUAAUCCCCGUAGAAGAGAAGAUGAUGACUCAGAUCAGAAGGCCAUAAGGUAUUGUGACGCCCGGGAAAUCAACCUACAGUGAUCCUCUACUAGUGAUGCCACGUCACCUCAAUUAUAGUUGCUAAUCUUGAGUUAGUUCAAAACCGGUCCAAAAUUCAAAAUUCAAAUAAAUGAUAACAAUAAAAGUUUUCAAAAAUUAAAACUAAAAAGUUUGGUGGUUGUCAAAUAUUACAUCGGUAAUUAUGGUGGAGUGCACACAUUUUUAUAAAGUGUCUGAAUAUUUUAAAAUGAAUUAAAACAGAAAAGAAAAAAAAUCGAAUAAAUAAAGGGAGGGGGGAAAACCCCCUGGCCAACUGGGCCAAACGGCCCAUCCGGCCAGCCCACCGGCCCAUCCGGCCCCCUCACUCCCUUAACCCCCCCACUCCCCGACCGAACCCUAGCCGACCCCCACUCCUCUCUCCCCCUUCCCACGACCCUCGUCCCUUCCCCGAUCCAGAUCNNNNNNNNNNNNNNNNNNNNNNNNNNNNNNNNNNNNNNNNNNNNNNNNNNNNNNNNNNNNNNNNNNNNNNNNNNNNNNNNNNNNNNNNNNNNNNNNNNNNNNNNNNNNNNNNNNNNNNNNNNNNNNNNNNNNNNNNNNNNNNNNNNNNNNNNNNNNNNNNNNNNNNNNNNNNNNNNNNNNNNNNNNNNNNNNNNNNNNNNNNNNNNNNNNNNNNNNNNNNNNNNNNNNNNNNNNNNNNNNNNNNNNNNNNNNNNNNNNNNNNNNNNNNNNNNNNNNNNNNNNNNNNNNNNNNNNNNNNNNNNNNNNNNNNNNNNNNNNNNNNNNNNNNNNNNNNNNNNNNNNNNNNNNNNNNNNNNNNNNNNNNNNNNNNNNNNNNNNNNNNNNNNNNNNNNNNNNNNNNNNNNNNNNNNNNNNNNNNNNNNNNNNNNNNNNNNNNNNNNNNNNNNNNNNNNNNNNNNNNNNNNNNNNNNNNNNNNNNNNNNNNNNNNNNNNNNNNNNNNNNNNNNNNNNNNNNNNNNNNNNNNNNNNNNNNNNNNNNNNNNNNNNNNNNNNNNNNNNNNNNNNNNNNNNNNNNNNNNNNNNNNNNNNNNNNNNNNNNNNNNNNNNNNNNNNNNNNNNNNNNNNNNNNNNNNNNNNNNNNNNNNNNNNNNNNNNNNNNNNNNNNNNNNNNNNNNNNNNNNNNNNNNNNNNNNNNNNNNNNNNNNNNNAACCCCUACUCCUCGAUGUAAGCACGCGCCCCUCCCCUCUCUCCCUCGCCCGCGAUCGCGCGAGCCCCGCCGUGGCCGCGCACGCCGGCCCCCGCCGUGAGCCUCGUUCCCUCCCCUCUUCUUCUCACGACCCCGCGGCGCUCCCGCCGCUGCCCGCCGCUCGGAGGCCUCUCCUCCCUCGCCGGACCUCCUUCACGGAGCCCCUCCUCGCAGCCAUCGCCCGGCGCUGCCUCGCCGUCGCCCCCGAUCCUUCCCCCUCCGACCACGUCGCCUGCGUCGCCAUUACCCUACCGCGGUGCGCUCGCCCGACACGCCCCGCCGCAUCGGUUGCUGUCGCCGGAAACGACCGGCCGACGAGCCCCGCCGUGGCCGUCGGUGCGCUCCAGCGCCCGCACACCCGCGCCCAUUCGGGCUGGCGUUCACGCGCCCGUUUACCCGCCCCGUUUGGCCCCUGUGCCACUGAACGCCGGGGCCCACACCCUGGAAGAAUUAAAAAAAAUGAAAAAAAUGUAUAUUAAUUAAUUAAUUAAUUAGAUAAUUAAUUAACUUAAUUGAUCAGGUUUAAUUUAAUCAAAUCAAACAUUAGUUAACCUGAUUAACUAAUUAAACUAAUUAAUAGGUUAAUUAGGAUAAUGUGCCAAUGACAUGGGGGUCCCACCCCAGAACGUUAAAAAAAUAAUAAUAAAUAAUAAAAAUAAAAAUGCUAAUUAAUUAAUUAAUUAACUAAGUUGAUUAACUUAAUUAAUCAUGUUUAGUUAACCUAAUUAAUCUGUUAAUUAAACUAACUAGGUUAAUUAGUUAACAGUCACUGACUAACGGGACCCACCUGUCAGGUUGACCAAGUCAACUCUGUUGACUGCUGACGUCAGCAUGACAUCAUGCUGACGUCAUAAAUCCAUUUUCCAAAUUAAUUAAAUAAUUAAUUAAAUUUCAGAAAUUAAUAAAAUCUUUAGUAAAUCAUAUCUUUUAAUCCGUAACUCGGAUUAAAAUAUUUUCAACAUGAAAGUUGCUCAGAACGACGAGACGAAUCCGGAUGCGCAGUCCGUUCGUCCGCCACGCACCUCUAACCUAUCGAACCCGCAACUUUCCCCCUCCGGCUCCUCUGCCCGAAAACGCGAAACACCGGGAAUACUUUCCCAGAUGUUUCCCCCCUUCGUCGGUAUCACCUACUACCGUGAUUGGGCACACCUAGCAUCGUUACUUGUCAUGUCAUGCAUCGAUAUGCAUUUGUUUGCAUUGUAUUCAUUGUUUCUUCCCCCUCUUCUCUCCGGUAGACUACGAGACCGACGCUGCUGCUGCCCAGUUCGACUACGGAGUUAACGACCCCUCCUUCUUGCCAGAGCAACCAGGCAAGCCCCCCCCCCCUUGAUCACCAGAUAUCGCCUAUUCUCUUCUAUACUGCUUGCAUUAGAGUAGUGUAGCAUGUUACUGCUUUCCGUUUAUCCUAUUCUGAUGCAUAGCCUGACAUUGUUGCUACACCUGUUGAUACCUUACCUGCAAUCCUAAAUGCUUAGUAUAGGAUGCUAGUUUAUCAUCAUUGGCCCUACAUUCUUGUCGGUCUGCCUUGCUAUACUAUUGGGCCGUGAUCACUCGGGAGGUGAUCACGGGUAUAUACUAUAAAUACAUACAUACUAUACAGAUGGUGACUAAAGUCGGGUCAGCUCGAAGAGUACCCGCGAGUGAUUCACGGAUUGGGGGCUGAAAGGACCUUUGUCCCGACGGCCCUCUGUGUGGAUCUUUGUGGCGGAGCGACAGGGCAGGUUGAGACCGCCUAGGAGAGAGGUGGGCCUGGCCCUGUUCAGCGUUCGCGGAUAUUUAACACGCUUAACGAGAUCUUGGUAUUUGAUCUGAGUUGGCUACGAGCCUAUACGCACUAACCAUCUACGUGGGAGUAGUUAUGGGUAUCCCGGCGUCGUGGUAUCAGCCGAAGCACUUCAGACGUCAGCGACGGAGCGACGCGCGCCGGAUUGGACUGGAACGCCUGCUAGGCUAGGUCUGCUUCCGGCUGCCCUCGCAACGUGCAGGUGUGCUAUGGGCGAUGGGCCCAGACCCCUGUGCGCUUAGGUUUAGACCGGGUGCUGGCCUCUCUGUUUUGCCUAGGUGGGGCUGCGAUGUGUUGAUCUUCCGAGGCCGGGCAUGACCCAGGAAAGUGUGUCCGGCCAAAUGGGAUCAAGCGUGUUGGGUAAGUUGGUGCACCCCUGCAGGGAAGUUAAUCUAUUCGAAUAGCCGUGAUCUUCGGUAACAGGACGACUUGGAGUUGUACCUUGACCUUAUGACAACUAGAACCGGAUACUUAAUAAAACACACCCUUCCAAGUGCCAGAUACAACCGAUGGUCGCUCUACCUCAGGGAUAUGAGGAGGGGAUCGCCGGGUAGGAUUAUGCUAUGAGAUGCUAUUUGGAGAUGCUACUUGGAGAUGCUACUUGGAGGACUUCAAUCUACUCUCUUCUACUUGAUGCAAGACGGUGGCUGCGAGAAGCGUAGUCUUCGACAGGAUUAGCUAUCCCCCUCUUAUUCUGGCAUUCUGCAGUUCAGUCCACUGAUAUGGCAUCCUUACACAUAUACCCAUGCAUAUGUAGUGUAGUUCCUUGCUUGCGAGUACUUUGGAUGAGUACUCACGGUUGCUUUCUUCCCCUUUUUUUUCCCUUUCCCUUUCUUUCUGGUUGUCGUAACCAGAUGCUGGAGCCCUGGAGCCAGACGCCACCGUCGACGACGACCCCUACUACACCAGAGGCGCCUACUACUACGUGCAGCCCGCUGACGACGACCUGGAGUAGUUUAGGAGGAUCCCAGGCAGGAGGCCUGCGCCUCUUUCGAUCUGUAUCCCAGUUUGUGCUAGCCUUCUUAAGGCAAACUUGUUUAACUUAUGUCUGUACUCAGAUAUUGUUGCUUCCGCUGACUCGUCUAUGAUCGAGCACUUGUAUUCGAGCCCUCGAGGCCCCUGGCUUGUAUUAUGAUGCUUGUAUGACUUAUUUAUGUUUUAGAGUUGUGUUGUGAUAUCUUCCCGUGAGUCCCUGAUCUUGAUCGUACACGUUUGCGUGCAUGAUUAGUGUACGAUUGAAUCGGGGGCGUCACAAGUAUAAGGAGUAAAAAGAGCCUUACGUUCCAUCCCACAAUCAAUUCCCUUAUAUAACUAAAGAAUUUCUAGACUCAACUUCGACCAGUUUGGCUUGGUAAUCCUACAGGCAGUCAAGCUCUGAUACCAACGCUGUCAGGACCCCGACUCAAUGCCACAUCGAUCUAGCAUGUAACACCUCAUAUCACUUUGCGGCCUCACGCACGGUAUUCCCACGGGUGUCGCCUUACCUUUGCCCGGGACCGUUUGCGCCUUUUGGCACACGUAUAUGAUAGUGUCGCUAGCAUCCAUAUGAUAAGGAGUCCGGGCUGACAUGACUAGUCGUAAACCCAAAGUGGCACAGACUUACAGGGACAGGCAUCCAUGACCCAGCAUCGAACGUGUCGGUCAUCAGCAAGUGGGUCCGGGCUGUAGCACUGGGCUAGCAGGACUCCGGUAAACCAGGCUGUAGCGGGCUAACAGGGCUCCGGUACUCAAUGCGUGACAUUUCCCCGAGGGGACAGACACAGGAACGAAGAAGGACACAUGCCGGCCAGCCUAAGUGUUCCGGAGCAGUAGCAAGCUACCAUGGCUCAGUGGAAACACUAGGAGACAUUUCCCGGUAAGAGAGGCUACUAAAGAUAAACAACUAGAUAGUCAGAUCCCACACAUACCAAGCAUUUCAAUCAUACACACAAUAUGCUCGAUAUGUGCAAAUACAACAAGGCAUCACAACAUGACUCUAUGACACAAGUAAGUAUUCAUUAGGCUCCGAGGAGCGAGAUAUUACAAACAGGGGUCUCAUGACCCAACAUUCAGAGCAUACAAAUCAAAGCACAAGCGGAAGCUAUCAUGUCUGAGUACAGACAUCUAUAAAUGAAAAAGGCUGAGAAGCCUGACUAUCUACCAGAUCCUGCCGAGGGCACAAGAUCGUAGCUGAGGUAACAAGCUAAACGUCGAAGUCCACGCGGAACUACUAGUGAGACUGAAGUCUCUCUGCAAAAACAUAAAAUAGGCAAACGUGAGUACAAAUGUACCCAGCAAGACUUACAUCAGAACUAUCUACAUAUGCAUCCUUAUCAACAAAGGGAUGGUGGGGUUUAACUGCAGCAAGCCAGCUUUGACUUGGUGGCUAUCCUGAACUACGACUGCAAGUAACUCUUUUGAGGUGGCGCACACGAGUCCACAUAUUCACCAUAUCAAUACACCACUAUGGAUCCGCUCUCGUCUCCCUACGAGAACGCCAUCCAUAGCACUCACGCUUAUCUUGCGUAUUUUAGAGUAUCCACUUUCACUUGUCUAUGAACUGAUAUAAGCAACCCAGAAGUCUUUUACCGCGGACACGGCUAUUCGAAUAGAUGAUGUUAACCCUGCAGGGGUGUACUUCUUUAUACAUGUUUCCACCACUUAGCGUCUGCACACGACAUGUGCUCGGCAGACUUCAAGCGAAAACCGACGUGGGUGUAGACCACGACCUACCUAAACACUCAAGUCUCUAGUCCAGGUUUAUCGCCUAUUCGGGUUCCAUCCAUGAGGAGAUCCGGCCGGAGUUUCGCUCACAGCCCCAAACGAUGUGAACAGGGUUCCGUGACACCAAACGGGCGCCCGGUAUACCCGGCCACGUGCCUACCGCAUCACAGCCCACCCCUCCGGUCAGCGCUGUGCACGGCCUCCAGCAUACUACAAACACCAGAAACUACUUGCAACUCCUGGACAGAGGACUUGGGUGAAUAAGAAGUCGAGCGGGGUCAUAUUUCAGGGCCCAAUGUAUGGUAGUAGCUGAAUCAUGGAUCACAAACACAGAGCUCAGUUCCUAAGGACGGCUGAGACAACCCACCAUGUACUCCUACAUGGCCUCUCACCGCUACCUUUACCAAAUCGUGUUCACCACUUAGCUCACACACAGUAGGACAUGUUCACACACCUCUGAUUCAUCCCCGAUGAAUCGGACCUAACUCAACUCUAAGCAAUAGCAGGCAUGACAAACAAACAUGAAUGAGUAGGCACAACAUGGCUCAAACAACUCCUACUCAUACUAGUGGGUUUCAUCUAUUUACUGUGGCAAUGACAGGUCAUGCAGAGGAUAAAGGGGUUCAGCUACCGCAGCAAGUAACAGUUGAAUCGUUGUUGUCCUAAUGCAGUAAAAGAGAGCAGGAGCGAGAGAGUAGGAUUGUAUCGGAAUGAACAAGGGGGUUUUUGCUUGCCUGGCACUUCUGAAGAUAAUAUAGCUCUUCAUCGGUGUCAUCGAUCACAUCGCCGGUACACGUCUAUCGAGAGGGGACAAUUACCGGCAAACAAGGAAGAACACAAUCAAUGCAAUGCGACAAUAUGAUGCAUGAAUGUGACAUGGCAAUAUGAUGUGAUUUGGGCUAAUGCAUUUAGCAACAAGUUAAAUGGGGCUGGUUUGAACACUAGGUUCAAAUUCAAACUCCAUAUGUGAGAGUUUAAAUGCCAUUUAAUUGAAUUGUCCUAAACAGUGGUCAUAAGUUGUUCUAACAUGCAUGAAAAUGGUACAGAUGGAUAGAUUGAAUUUUUCUGAUUUCAUAUAUAAAUUAUUUCAUUUGGAGUUACGGUUGAAUUUUUAUGAAUUUUUGAAGUUUGGGAUAUUUUCUAGAUUUUCUGAAUUAUUUUAAAUCCAGAAAUAAAUAAUCGCGUCAGCCUGACGCCAGCAUGAUGUCAGCGAGUCAACGGCCAGGUCCAGGUCAAACCUGACGUGCGGGGUCCACACGUCAGUGACACAGGAACUAAUCCCGGUCAAACCCAGCGCUGACUGGGGUUUGACCAGGGGUGGGGCCCACUGUCAGUGGCUGUAGGUUGUUUAACUAGCUGGGUUAGCUCCUAAUGACGGAGCCACGUCAGCUCCCGCCGGAGUUUCGACGGCGACGACCUAAACUGCGGCGGAGACGCACCGGGGUGGCUCGGGUUUCGUCUAUACUGCACCGUUCAGUGCGCCCUUUGGCCCUACGGAGAGCUGGCGCAAUGGCGCGUCGGAUGGUCGUGGUCUCCGGGCCUGGGGUGGCCGAAGUCGACGGCGGCGAGCUCGGUUGCGGCCGCCGGAGCUCGGGUGAGACACGGGCGACCACUAGAGGGCACGGGAGGGCGAGCUGCGGCAUGCAACGGGCUCGUGGAGACGUUCUGAGCACGAUGGUGUACUCGGGUGGGAGCUCCAGUGGCUGCAGUGACGGCGGCGACGAGGUCAGCGGCGGCCGGAGUUCGGCCGCGAUGGAGCUAUGGCCUAGAGCUCGCAAACGCGAGGGGAAAGAGAGGGGUUCUGCACGGAGGCUCACAGCGAGGUCGAUGAGCAGCUCGGUGGUCUCGGGAAGGCGUCGGAGGCGGUGAAUCGACAAGCGGCAUCCGGCGGCCGUGCGUGAAGAAGACGGCUCGAUGACGGCGAUGCAGGGCGUCCGAGGUCGCUUGACUCGGCGGAGAGGAUGAGGGCGAGGUAGCCGAGCUACUGGGCACACCGAGGGGUCGAGGGGGAGGCUCUGGGUGCGGCAACGGCGAAUGGCGGCGAUGAGCUCUGCUCGGGCUGUGCGAGAGAGAGAGCAGAGGAGGGGGAAGGGGUCGAGAGAGAGCAGAGAGCGAGGGGAGAGACAGAGGGGGCUACGGGCGUAUCCAGACGCGUCGGGGCGCCUCGGUGGCAAGCAGGAGGUGGACAGGGCGGCGUCGGCGCUCGCCACCGAGCUGCUUCGGUGCGAGGGGAGGAAGACGACAGGAAAAGGGUGGGCUGGGCCGCGCUGGGCCGGUCCUGUUGGGCUACCAGGUGGGCUUCACAGGUAAGUCGCCAGGUAUGUGCUCUGUUUUAAUUCCUGUUUAUGUUUUCUAUUUUUUUUAAAUUUGUUUUGCCACUGUUUUGAAUUUAAAAAUAAAUCAAACAAUGCCAAAAACUCCUCUGAAUAUUUUUGUUUUGCUAGAUGGACUUUUCCAAAAGCUCAUAAAAUAUUUCAGGGGUAUUUGAAAUUAUAUUCUAAUUAUAUGAAUAUAAUUCAAAUUCAAAUAACUAAUGAUUUAAAUUCAAAGUCCCAAGAUUAAGUCCUUAAAAAUGUUCAAUAUUUUGGUUGGGACCAGAACCCUUUGCCAAAAUUAUCAAACAUUUAAGAAGAGCAUUUUGGAACAAUGAAUGAGAUUUUAGGGUUUUUUGCCCUUCUUUUAUUUAGGGUUUUGAGGCUUCCAAAUUUCCCCAGUUCAAGUUCAAAAAUUUAAACAUGAUGCAAACACUAGGCAGCACCAGAAGCUAGGGAUGUGACACCCGGCCACAUGCCAGCCGGCCGCUGAGCAGCCCGGGUGCCCGGCCCCCUCCGUCCAGCCGCACGUUUAUGGCCUUUUUGGCCUUGUACCCCUCUCUUCUUGACUUGUUUCGCCCCUAAACUAAAUAAGGACAUCUCCUAGGUCAUUUGUAGGGUUAGCAAAGAUUAGACUAAACAUUGUGAGCCUUUGCUCCUUGUAUCCCCUCCUCUUAGGAGAUCAAGCCCCCACCUAGGGAAGAAUCCAUUGGAUUGUCAAGGCCUCCUCUUGGAGAAGAUCAUCAAGACCUCACCUAGUGGGAAGAAUUUACCUAGUGCUACCCUCCUUGUAUUGAUCUUGUAAUCUUGUGGAUCUCAUGUAUGCUACUCUAGUGGAUGUGAUAUUUGGGUUUGUUUGAGAGUUUUGUUCUUGGUGUUCUUGAGUGUUUUCCUCCUUUUCCCCCUCCAAGUGUGAAAAGAUCCUUCCUAGGGUUUGACCCUACAACAGGUCUUCCUGUGAUGGGGUCUUAAAUCCGCUUGGAGGAUCUUCUCUGAAGAGGUCGUGGACUCCGAUGGAGAAGUAACCAAGUGGAUGAGCAAAGCUCUAUCUCUCAAAUGAGCUUAUCCUUUGUUAACCUUAGAAAGAGGGAGGAGGUCUAUUUAUAGUCUAAGUGGACGAAGGGGAACAUGGGAUUCGGCCCAACACGCUGUCAACACACAGGCGUCGGACGUCCUACCGUCACCGGUCGUCCGAUGGCUCCCGAGGUUCCGGACGUCUAGGACUGGCAGUGAGUCCGACGUUUUGGCUCUGGUUAGGAUUUGUCGGACGUCCAGUCGGGGUCGGGCGUCCGGUCCGUCAGUCGUCCGGAGAUCUCCAUACUUCCAAUGCUUUGUCUCGGGUGUGGUGGUGCCGGUCGUCCGGUGGGGCUCGUCCGUCCGGGUGCUAGGAGGUGUCGGUCGUCCGACGAACGUCGGACGUCCGACCGUUGUAGCGUUCGCUGGCUCGGCCUUGUCCGGCUAGUUGGAGCUUCAGGCGUCGGUUGUCCGGUCGGGGUCGGUCGUCCAACGGCUGGAGACUUCCAGACUACUUUUCUUCUCACUCCAUGUACUCGGUGUCCACGCCGUCUUGUCCGUUGGGUGUAGUUGUUCCAUGGCCUACUUCCAAGUACCUGAUCACGCAUAGGGUCUCCGCUUGAGGUAGCAGCCAUGUCUCAUAUGUGGAGAGUGGUAGUUCGGAGAGGAGUGAGUUUACCUUAUCUUCGAUAGCCUUUGCUCGAGCUCUUGUCAUUGGUCCAAGUGGUGUCGUGGGAGACGUAGGUAGGUCCAUGGGGAUGACCUUGGGAUGCUCCACGUCACAGAGGAGGCUGCGAGGGUCACUCUAGCACAGGUAGGCCCGAGGGAGAGGCGAGGCUCGGGCACGCGCGUGUUGACACAUCUCUGCCUACCGACAGAGGUUGAAGACGGCGUCUGGUGGAUGCAUAGUAACUGGGCCGCAGGUAAGCGCUUCUCUGUGUGUGUGUGUGUGUGUUUUAUUAUUUCUACUUAGUUUGUUUUUAUUUAUUUCUUUUACCACUAUUUUCAAAUUAUACAAAUUCAAAACCAGUGACAAAAUUCCCUUGAAUAUUUUUAUGCUGCACAAUGGAAUUAUCCAAAGACAAAUAAAUCAUUUCAUAGUUAUUCAAAAUUAUAUUCUAAUUAUAUGAAUAUAACUCAAAUUCAAAUAGCUACUGAUUUAACUCAAAGUCCCAACAUAAUUCCUUAAAAAUGUUCACUAUUUUUGGUUUGAAUCAAAACCCUUGCCGAAAUUAUCAAACAUUAAAGAAGGAAUUUUUGGAAUCUUUGAAUGAAAUUUUUAGGGCUCUUGCCCUUCUUUUAUUUAAAUUUUUCUGAGGCUUGAAAAUUCCCUCAGUUCAAGUUUCUUGAGAUUAACAUGAUGCAUGAUGCUCAUUGAUGCAACUAGUUAAAAGCAUUCUUCUAGGGUUGUGACAGUUACAUGCUUUGAGUAAGAAGAAUGCUUUGAGUAAGAAGAAUGCACCCUUCAUAUGGGGACCCUCACAAGAUGCCACGUUUAUGAGUUUAAGAAUUGCUCACGCAUGCUCCAUUGCUUGCAUUACCGAACUUUAAUAAAUGUGUGAUCAAACACCAAAAGGAUACACAAAACACCAGAAAUAUACACUGAAACCCAAACACAUGCACAUGCAUAAUACUCCCUCCGUUCCUAAAUAUAAAGUCUUUUUAGAGAUUUCACUAUGGACUACAUACGGAGCAAAAUGAGUGAAUCUACACUCUAAAAUAUGUCUAUAUACAUCCGUAUGUAGUUUAUAGUGCAAUCUCUAAAAAGACUUAAUUUAGGAACGGAGGGAGUACAUUCCCAUGAAAUAGACUAGUUUUGAGAUAUCAGGGUAGAGCACAUGCAUAAUACAUUCCCAUGAAAUAGACUAGUUUUGAGAUAUCAGGGUAGAGCACAGAAAGGAGCAAAAAGGAGCUAACAUUCUUAUUGAAAUACUAACUGUAGUUCAUUUAUCAUAUCCUCAGACAUUGUACACAGCGGUGCGCUGGUGAUCCAUCACCACAUCAGCCAAACUAGACACGGAAUCACAGUUUAUACACACAAAUUCAUUUUGUCUUCUUAUCUUCUUU